AUUCCGGUUGAUCCUGGCGGAGGUCAUUGCUAUCGGGGUCCGAUUUAGCCAUGCUAGUUGCACGAACUCAUAUUCGUAGCAGAUAGCUCAGUAACACGUGGCCAAACUACCCUAUGGAGAAUGAUAACCUCGGGAAACUGAGGAUAAUAAUUCAUAAGGCUCUCACCCUGGAAUGGAGAGAGCUGGAAACGCUCCGGCGCCAUAGGAUGUGGCUGCGGCCGAUUAGGUAGACGGUGGGGUAACGGCCCACCGUGCCAAUAAUCGGUACGGGUUGUGAGAGCAAGUGCCCGGAGACGGAAUCUGAGACAAGAUUCCGGGCCCUACGGGGCGCAGCAGGCGCGAAAACUUUACACUGCACGACAGUGCGAUAAGGGGACCCCGAGUGCGAGGGCAUANAGCCCUCGCUUUUCUGUACCGNANGGUGGNACAGGAACAANAGCUGGGCA
Molecule: ribosomal RNA, 446 nt
Filed under: uncultured archaeon
Lineage: Archaea
Description: bacterial SSU rRNA
Rfam family: Archaeal small subunit ribosomal RNA
Source: RNAcentral